GGGCAGAGUAGAGGAGGAUGAGGACCUCUCCCCACCUCCUGAGCACCCCCAAGAGGAGGAAGGCUGUGCUGCUCUCCUUCCUCACCUUGCUGCCUCUUGGGAUGCUGCGAGCUGUGGAGCUGUUUGGAAGGUACCUGCUGGAGCAGCAGCGCACAGACCUGAUGCCGACCUGCCUAUAGGUGGUGUCACAUGAGGUGCCUGAGGAGGACAAGCAGUGGGUCUCCUUGCUGAAUGCAGGGGGGGAGGACCCCAUUUGUCCCCUUUCCUGCCAUGUCCCACACUUUGUCAUCUUGUGCAAUAGGCAGGGAGAUGAAGUGAUGCCUGCUGUUUGGCAGAAGCUACUUGAGGGGCCAGUCCUCAUGACAUGCUGCUAUCCCCACUCUGUUGCUGUGAUGAUACUGUUCAUCUGCCCCAUGAGACAGAACUACCAAUCACACAGCCUCCCAAAAACCCCACAGAGCCCCCUCCAGGGCCCCUCAGUGCCCUGUCUGUGCCUGUAGAUCCUUGAUGGAGAGGGGGGAGGAGAUUUUCAGCAUGCCUUGGAUGACAAAGAAGCUCCUCAAUGAGAUUUGCCUGCUGCUGCAAAACAAUACCAUACGUGCGCACUUUGGGAUGACCGAGGACUACGAAAUCCUCCAGCUCAGCCUCAUGCAGACCCUGAGCCCCGAGGACCCCAUCCCCGCCGUGCUACAGGACGUGGAGUGCCUGAAGAGAUGCAUCAGGAACACCAACUUCCACCUGCUCUGGAUCGCACUCAAAGGGCUGGUGGCGAUGCUGGGGAGGCCCAAGAUGGGGCCAACGGGGAUUAUCCUGCUGCCUGACGUCCUGAAAACCCUGCGGUUCGGCAACCCCCACAUCACGGCGGCGGCGCUGGCGGUGUGCUGCAGGGUCCUGCGCGCCCUGAUGAACAAGUCGGCCAGCAUCACUUCCCUGUGGCUGGUCGAUCUGCUCACGCCUUACUUGGACAACGUAAGGGGGGGGGGGGCGAGGCUCCUGCGGCACCCACCCCGUGCCACGGCUGGGCGGGCGAGGAUCACUCAGCCUCCGUCCUCCUCUUCCUCUUCCAGGAGGCCGACAUGGUGCGGGAGAA
Molecule: long non-coding RNA, 1090 nt
Filed under: Anas platyrhynchos platyrhynchos (common mallard)
Lineage: Eukaryota; Metazoa; Chordata; Aves; Anseriformes; Anatidae
Description: lncRNA (ENSAPLG00000017951.1)
Source: RNAcentral